UGCUGAGUCAUGCAGGUUGUCAGGGA
RNAcentral lists this non-coding RNA (26 nucleotides) under Homo sapiens (human). Lineage: Eukaryota; Metazoa; Chordata; Mammalia; Primates; Hominidae. The record is from RNAcentral.